GACGAACGCUGGCGGCGUGCUUAACACAUGCAAGUCGAACGGAAAGGCCCUGCUUUUGUGGGGUGCUCGAGUGGCGAACGGGUGAGUAACACGUGAGUAACCUGCCCUUGACUUUGGGAUAACUUCAGGAAACUGGGGCUAAUACCGGAUAGGAGCUCCUGCUGCAUGGUGGGGGUUGGAAAGUUUCGGCGGUUGGGGAUGGACUCGCGGCUUAUCAGCUUGUUGGUGGGGUAGUGGCUUACCAAGGCUUUGACGGGUAGCCGGCCUGAGAGGGUGACCGGCCAAAUUGGGACUGAGAUACGGCCCAGACUCCUACGGGAGGCAGCAGUGGGGAAUAUUGCACAAUGGGCGGAAGCCUGAUGCAGCAACGCCGCGUGCGGGAUGACGGCCUUCGGGUUGUAAACCGCUUUCGCCGGUGACGAAGCGUGAGUGACGGUAAUGGGUAAAGAAGCACCGGCUAACUACGUG
RNAcentral lists this ribosomal RNA (468 nucleotides) under uncultured bacterium. Its description in RNAcentral is "partial 16S ribosomal RNA". It matches the Rfam family "Bacterial small subunit ribosomal RNA", at positions 28 to 507 of the family's 1533-position model. The record is from RNAcentral.